RNAcentral lists this ribosomal RNA (271 nucleotides) under uncultured prokaryote. RNAcentral's name for it is "partial 16S ribosomal RNA". It matches the Rfam family "Bacterial small subunit ribosomal RNA", at positions 524 to 794 of the family's 1533-position model. The record is from RNAcentral.
AACGUAGGAGGCGAGCGUUAUCCGGAUUCAUUGGGCGUAAAGGGCAAGUAGGCGGUAUGCAAAGUUGGUUGUGACAUCUCCCGGCUCAACUGGGAGGGUGCGGCCAAAACUAGCGUACUAGAGGGCAGAAGAGGGAAGUGGAAUUCCUGGUGUAGCGGUGGAAUGCUCAGAUACCAGGAGGAACACCAGUGGCGAAGGCGACUUUCUGGUCUGCACCUGACGCUGAGAGGCGAAAGCUAGGGGAGCGAACGGGCUUAGAUACUCUGGUAGU